UACAGAGGGUGCAAGCGUUGUUCGGAAUUAUUGGGCGUAAAGCGCGUGUAGGCGGCUUGGCAAGUCGGGUGUGAAAGCCCUCAGCUCAACUGAGGAAGUGCGCCCGAAACUGCUGAGCUUGAGUGCCGGAGAGGAUGGCGGAAUUCCCGAAGUAGAGGUGAAAUUCGUAGAUAUCGGGAGGAACACCGGUGGCGAAGGCGGCCAUCUGGACGGACACUGACGCUGAGACGCGAAAGCGUGGGUAGCAAACAGG
RNAcentral lists this ribosomal RNA (253 nucleotides) under uncultured bacterium. RNAcentral's name for it is "partial 16S ribosomal RNA". It matches the Rfam family "Bacterial small subunit ribosomal RNA", at positions 524 to 776 of the family's 1533-position model. The record is from RNAcentral.